ACGGGAGGCAGCAGUGAGGAAUAUUGGUCAAUGGGCGGAAGCCUGAACCAGCCAAGUCGCGUGAGGGAAGACGGCCCUAUGGGUUGUAAACCUCUUUUUUGCGGGAAUAAAGUGCCUCAUGCGUGAGGUUUUGCAUGUACCGCAAGAAUAAGGAUCGGCUAACUCCGUGCCAGCAGCCGCGGUAAUACGGAGGAUCCGAGUGUUAUCCGGAUUUAUUGGGUUUAAAGGGUGCGUAGGCGGUAGGUCAAGUCAGUGGUGAAAUGGUGCGGCUCAACCGUAGCAUUGCCGUUGAAACUGGCUUACUUGAGUGCGGACGAGGUAGACGGAAUGUGUUGUGUAGCGGUGAAAUGCAUAGAUAUGACACAGAACACCGAUUGCGAAGGCAGUUUACCAGGCCGCAACUGACGCUGAGGCACGAAAGUGUGGGGAUCGAACAGGAUUAGAUACCCUGGUA
This 454-nucleotide ribosomal RNA is filed under the name uncultured Paludibacter sp. RNAcentral's name for it is "partial 16S ribosomal RNA". It matches the Rfam family "Bacterial small subunit ribosomal RNA", at positions 341 to 792 of the family's 1533-position model. Lineage: Bacteria; Pseudomonadati; Bacteroidota; Bacteroidia; Bacteroidales; Paludibacteraceae. The record is from RNAcentral.